AUUGAACGCUGGCGGCAGGCCUAACACAUGCAAGUCGAGCGGAUGAAGGGAGCUUGCUCCUGGAUUCAGCGGCGGACGGGUGAGUAAUGCCUAGGAAUCUGCCUGGUAGUGGGGGAUAACGUCCGGAAACGGGCGCUAAUACCGCAUACGUCCUGAGGGAGAAAGUGGGGGAUCUUCGGACCUCACGCUAUCAGAUGAGCCUAGGUCGGAUUAGCUAGUUGGUGGGGUAAAGGCCUACCAAGGCGACGAUCCGUAACUGGUCUGAGAGGAUGAUCAGUCACACUGGAACUGAGACACGGUCCAGACUCCUACGGGAGGCAGCAGUGGGGAAUAUUGGACAAUGGGCGAAAGCCUGAUCCAGCCAUGCCGCGUGUGUGAAGAAGGUCUUCGGAUUGUAAAGCACUUUAAGUUGGGAGGAAGGGCAGUAAGUCAAUACCUUGCUGUUUUGACGUUACCAACAGAAUAAGCAUCGGCUAACUUCGUG
Molecule: ribosomal RNA, 484 nt
Filed under: uncultured bacterium
Lineage: Bacteria
Description: partial 16S ribosomal RNA
Rfam family: Bacterial small subunit ribosomal RNA
Source: RNAcentral